Molecule: small RNA, 639 nt
Filed under: Caenorhabditis elegans
Lineage: Eukaryota; Metazoa; Nematoda; Chromadorea; Rhabditida; Rhabditidae
Description: Unclassified non-coding RNA C07B5.10
Source: RNAcentral
GCCUGCGCAAAACCAUGAAUCCACGUAGGGAUCAGCAGAGACGUACUGAAAACAGCAUGCUAAUAUGGAUACUUGAAGCAAAGGGACUACCAGCCAAGAGGAAGUACUAUUGCGAAAUGACACUGGACAAGACGCUGUAUGCCAAGACUUCAUCCAAAGCGCGAACGGAUAAUGUAUUUUGGGGCGAGAACUUUGAGUUCAUGUAAGUUGCAAUAGCUCAUGACAUCUGUUAAAUGGGGUUGCUGUUCAAUUUUACAUGAAUAGAAAAUGAGAAACAUUUCAACAACCUUUUUUUUUUGAAAUCAUCUUCAACACAGAUUAACUAUUUUUUGGAUUGUCAUUCGAAUUUUGAAAAGAUUUGUGCGUCAUUCCAAAUUUUUAACUUCGAUUCUUUUUUUUGUUUUGCGAAACCAAACGGAAAAAGUACAACAGUAUUUUCCAACACCAAAAAAAUUUACCAUUCAUUUGUUUGGUAUGAAUGAUUUUUCCAAACGAAACUUUCAGGAUGCUCCCAAAAAUCGAUGAAGUGUGCGUGAGCUUGUUCCGAGAAUCUGAUUCAAAGAAAAAGAAGGACACUCUCAUCGGAUACGUUACCAUUGGAAUCGACCAACUGUCUAGCAGAAGUCCAGUAGAGCGAUG